GACGAACGCUGGCGGCGUGCUUAACACAUGCAAGUCGAACGGAAAGGCCCUGCUUUUUUCUGGUUCUCGAGUUGCAAACGGGUGAGUAACCCAUGAGUAACCUUCCCUUGACUUUGGGAUAACUUCAGGCAACUGCUGCUAAUACCGGAUACGAGCUCCUGCUGCAUGGUGGGGUUUGGAACGUUUCGGCUGUUGUGGAUGUACUCGCGGCUUAUCAGCUUGUUGGUGGGGUAGUUGCUUACCAAGGCUUUGACGGGUAGCCGGCCUGAGAGGGUGACCGGCCACAUGGGGACUGAGAUACGGCCCAGACUCCUACGGGAGGCAGCAGGGGGGAAUAUGGUACAAUGGGCGGAAGCCUGAGGCAGCAACGUCGCGUGCGGGAUGACGGCCUUCGGGUGGUAAACCGCUUUCGCCUGUGACGAAGCGUGAGUGACGGUAAUGGGUAAAGAAGCACCGGCUAACUACGUG
RNAcentral lists this ribosomal RNA (468 nucleotides) under uncultured bacterium. RNAcentral's name for it is "partial 16S ribosomal RNA". It matches the Rfam family "Bacterial small subunit ribosomal RNA", at positions 28 to 507 of the family's 1533-position model. The record is from RNAcentral.